RNAcentral lists this ribosomal RNA (251 nucleotides) under uncultured bacterium. RNAcentral describes it as "partial 16S ribosomal RNA". It matches the Rfam family "Bacterial small subunit ribosomal RNA", at positions 1066 to 1320 of the family's 1533-position model. The record is from RNAcentral.
CGUGAGGUGUUGGGUUAAGUCCCGCAACGAGCGCAACCCCUGUGGCUAGUUACUAUCCGUAAGGAAGCACUCUAGCCAGACUGCCUGUGAUAAGCAGGAGGAAGGUGGGGAUGACGUCAAGUCAGUAUGGUCCUUAUGUCCAGGGCUGCACACGUGCUACAAUGAUCAGUACAGAAGGAAGCAAGACCGCGAGGUGGAGCCAAUCCCCAAAACUGAUCACAGUUCGGAUUGGAGUCUGAAACUCGACUCCA